UAACCCGCACCACUUAUCGUGGUGGGAGACAGUGUCAGGCGGGCAGUUUGACUGGGGCGGUCGCCUCCUAAAAGGUAACGGAGGCGCUCAAAGGUUCCCUCAGAAUGGGUGGAAAUCAUUCAUAGAGGGUAAAGGCAUAAGGGAGCUUGACUGCGAGACCUACAAGUCGAGCAGGGGCGAAAGACGGACUUAGUGAUCCGGUGGGUCCGCAUGGAAGGGCCAUCGCUCAACGGAUAAAAGCUACCCCGGGGAUAA
RNAcentral lists this ribosomal RNA (255 nucleotides) under Staphylococcus aureus. RNAcentral's name for it is "partial 23S ribosomal RNA". It matches the Rfam family "Bacterial large subunit ribosomal RNA", at positions 2223 to 2477 of the family's 2925-position model. The record is from RNAcentral. Lineage: Bacteria; Bacillati; Bacillota; Bacilli; Caryophanales; Staphylococcaceae.